This 433-nucleotide ribosomal RNA is filed under the name uncultured bacterium. RNAcentral's name for it is "partial 16S ribosomal RNA". It matches the Rfam family "Bacterial small subunit ribosomal RNA", at positions 29 to 507 of the family's 1533-position model. The record is from RNAcentral.
AGCGAACGCUGGCGGCAGGCCUAACACAUGCAAGUCGAACGAACUCUUCGGAGUUAGUGGCGGACGGGUGAGUAACACGUGGGAACGUGCCUUUUGGUUCGGAAUAACUCAGGGAAACUUGUGCUAAUACCGAAUGUGCCCUUCGGGGGAAAGAUUUAUCGCCAUUAGAGCGGCCCGCGUCUGAUUAGCUAGUUGGUGAGGUAACGGCUCACCAAGGCGACAAUCAGUAGCUGGUCUGAGAGGAUGACCAGCCACACUGGGACUGAGACACGGCCCAGACUCCUACGGGAGGCAGCAGUGGGGAAUCUUGCGCAAUGGGCGAAAGCCUGACGCAGCCAUGCCGCGUGAAUGAUGAAGGUCAUAGGAUUGUAAAAUUCUUUCACCGGGGACGAUAAUGACGGUACCCGGAGAAGAAGCCCCGGCUAACUUCGUG